This 6370-nucleotide long non-coding RNA is filed under the name Triticum aestivum (bread wheat). Its description in RNAcentral is "long non-coding RNA (TAES_LNC019911)". Lineage: Eukaryota; Viridiplantae; Streptophyta; Magnoliopsida; Poales; Poaceae. The record is from RNAcentral.
UAGUUGCUGAUUGAUCACAUUCUAGGAGGCUGGUUGAAGCCUGUUCAGGAGUUUGGAUUUAUAAAUGGCCCCCAUUCAUUGAUUUGGUUGACAUUGCACAUGAGUUGCUGUGAGCAAAGAGUUAGACCAUUUUGCUUACUGUUUUCAGAGCCUUGCCAGCAAUCCAAGUUUUGACAUGGACUUGUAUGUUGUAUCCGAGAAGUAAAAAAAAAUGCACUGGUAUUUAUUUUUGAAACAGAGAACUGCAGGAACAGUAAACUUGAUUUGUACAAGUGAGAGAUGAGGAGGAUAUAUAGAGGCAGAGCUGAUCCAAGCCAGUUGCAGUCUUUGGGGCUGAGAGGAUUAACCUGUUGUAUACAUUGUGGAAUAUUAUGUUGUUAUCAGAGAGAACCUGACUGACUUGUAUCAUCAUCAUCAUGUAUACCUGUAUCCUCUGUGGAUUGACAUGUACAUUGACCAGUAGGUAAAAGUAUAUGGAGUGAUGGCCCGUAUCAUCAUCAUCAUCAUCAUCAUCAUCAUCAUGUACACAGUAGCCCGUUCCGGUCGUAUUUCUCUCUCUAGAUAUGGAGUGAUGGCAGGCAUAGGAAUGAUAUGUUGAGGUUAGUCUUGUGAAACUAAUGUUGCAGUUGUUGUUUGUUGUAGACUGAGCAUGUCUGUUUUAUUUCUUUGGGUUUCGUUCGGCAUCUCAAUAAGUACAUGUCUGUUUUAGUUUAUGAGUUGUUUCUUUUCUUUCUUGUGAGCUAUAAAUAAAUGUCAAAUAGUAUUAUCAACCUUGGGAAAUAUUAUCAACAUUUACUCCUCUGUCACAUAUUAACCGACAGAUAAAUGGGAAUCGGCUUUAGCAUAGUCUGAUCUGAUGUACUAGAAUUUAGUUCCAAUUUUGAAUUUUAGGCAUUAGCUUUGGUGGUGCUGUGCUGUGCUGUGCUGUGCUGUGUAGGUUUGGUGGUGCAAGAUGACGGCGUCGUCUUGCUGCUGCUUCCGACUGCUGUUGAGUCGGUGUCUGUUUCCCAAGAUUAUGCUUGUGGGUUUUGAUCUGAAGAAGAAUAAAUUGGAGCUUAGCGAAUUGAGGUUGGUUUCUACGUACGUAUUUGGUUUGGUUAGCCAUCCCGUCCCGUGGUUAAUUUUUUUUGGCUGGCCAUGUUUAUGUUGCUAGUACUGUAACCAAAUCUGAGAUGAGUCUGCAACUGUAAACUAGCUUGUGGCAAGCAUCUGAUCAUUUGAAAUCUGCAGUCUUGUCCGUGUGAGUGAUGCAUCCCGUCGUUUAAUAUUUUGGCCAUUAGCUUUGGUGGUGCUGUUCUCUGUUGUGCUGUGUAGGUUUGGUGCUGCAAAGGUUCAAGUCAGUACCUGUUUCCCAAGAUUGUGCUUGUGAAAAAUGUUCGUGAAAGUUUCUUGGAUUUGGAAAAAGAUCAUGAGUUCAAAAGAUGUUCAAUAAAUGAAAAAUUGUUCCCGAAUUUUAAAAUAGAUCACAAAUUUGAGAAACAUUCAAAAAUUCAAAAAAAUAUUCACAGAUUGAAAAGUGUUUGUGGAUUUGAAACAAGUUCAAAAAUUCAAAGAAAAUUGUUAAAUGAAAAAUAUUUGCACAUUUGAAAAAUAUCACAAAAUUAAAAAUAGUUCAUGGAUUUAACAAAGUUCAUGAACUUGAGAAAAGGUCUCAUUUUUUUAAAAAAAAAUGCGAAUUUGAGUAAAGUUCAUGAACUUGAAAAAAUAUUAACGAUUUAAAAAAUGUUCAUCAUUUCAAAAUGUAAAAAAAAGAAAAGAAAAAAAUGAAUGAGUAAAAAGAGUAAUGAAAACAACAAAGAAACUGAAAGAUAAAUCAAAAUAGUACUAAAAAAGAGAACGGAAAAUAAUGUGAAAACCAGAAAGGAAAAAACCAAAUAGAAAACCAUGGCUGGAAAAUACAGAAAGACUGUCAAAAAAAGAGAAACCGAAUAGAAAACCAUGGCUGGAAAAUACAAAAAGACUGUCAAAAAAAAAGAGAAACCGAAAAGAAAACCAUGGCUGGAAAAUACACAAAGACUGUAAAAAAAAAGAGAAACCAUGCGAAAGAACAUUCUAGAAUGUUCCCAAAAGCGGCAAUUAACCACACUGUUCCAUGGGCCAGGCCGUUAGAAGUAGCAGCCCCCCACCUGAGCUCUCGCUACGAAUAAAGAGCUAUCACCAGAUAGGAUAUACCCCUAAAAAAACCAGAUAGGAUAUGGCUAAAACUUGCGUGUCUCAAAUGUUUUUGUUGGAUAUUUAUGCAAAAUAUUUUAUUUUUGAGCCCGUCAAAAAAUAUUUUAUUUUAUUUUUGAGAGACAUAUCAUUUAAGGACGCGUCUACACAGCGGCCGGCUGCUCCCUGUCGUUUCGGAGCAGCCGGCCAAAAUACAAAAAGUUUGAUAUGUAAUCCAUAAAAAGAAAUGUCUUGUCCUUAUGUCUUGUCCUUUUUGUCCUUUAUAUUGAUUAGAUUUUUUUCCAUCUGGUCCUUUUUUCAUGACAUAUUAAAUGCCCGAAACAGUUAUCUUUUAGAUGUAGAGUGCAUGUGCAUUUAAUUUGUGGUUUUAAAUUUUCAAAAAACAAUAACUUUCAAAUUGCGCAUCAAAAUUAAGAUUCGUUUUCACUACUGGAACCAUCGCGGCGUGCUCUUCGAAACUAAAUCCCACAUGAGUAUAUUUCGACGAAUUUUUUUGUGCAAUUUUGUCCCCGUUUUGUGCAACUGACUAACCGUUGUUGUGUAACUACCUGACAGGGAUGUGCAACUUUUCUCGUACACUGUAGACAUGCAGUUUUUCUCUAUGGUGCCUCCACCUUCAAACUGCCUCCUUUCAGUGAGAUGUGCAACUUCGUUUGUUGUCUAGGCCAUGCAGUUUUCACUAGUGGCACCACCCCAUACUACUCUCUAACAGUGAAAUGUGCAUUUUCGCUGUGCCCUAGCCAACUGCCUAGUAGUCGUCGUGUGUGGGCAGCCCCCACAACCGUGUUCGAGGGACUAUCCUAUGAGGAUGUCCCAACUCCACGGUCACGCAUGUGCGACUAUGCACACAAGAGUGUGCAACUCCGUGGUCGGACGUGGGCAUCUCCCACAGUAGUUCAUGUGCGACUAUGCAGACGAGAUUGUGCAACUGUGUGGCCAUGCAUGUGCGACUAUGCUGAUGAGAGUGUGCAACUCCGUGGUCGGACAUGACCACGUCCCACAAAAACUUAUGUGCGACUAUGCGGACGAGAUUGUGCAACUCUGUGGCCAUGCAUAUGCGACUGUGCCGACGAGAGUGUGCAACUCCGCGGCCAUGCAUGAGCACCUCCCACGAUAAUUCAUGUGCGACUAUGCGGACGAGAUUGUACAACUCUGUGUUCAUGCAUGAGCAUCUCCCACGAUAAUUCAUGUGCGACUAUGCGGACGAGAUUUUGCAACUCUGUGUUCGUGCAUGUGCAACUAUGCCGACGAGAGUGUGCAAUCCCGCGGCCAUGCGUGAGCACCUCCCACGAUAAUUUAUGUACUAUGCACACGAGAUUGUGCAACUCUGUGGCCAUGCAUGUGCGAUUAUACCGACGAGAGUGUGCAACUCCGCGGCCGGGCAUGAGCACCUCCCACGACAAUUCAUGUGCGACUAUGCGGACGAGAUCGUGUAACUCUGUGACCAUGCAUAUUGUGCCGACAAAAGUGUGCAACUCCGCGGCCAUGCGUGAGCAUCUCCCCACGGACCCGCGACUAAUGCAUUGCGUCCUUGCAUCGACAAUGACCCGGCGGAGAUCAUCAUCAUCGGGCACAUCGUCUGGUUCCUCUUGAUCUUCAGCAGCUUCACCCGUGGCAGCAUCAUUGGGCACAUCGUCUGGUUCCUCUUGAUCUUCACCAGCUCCCCACGUUGCAGCAUCACCGUAUUCAGGGGGCACAUAGUUGUCAUCGUACUCUUCUUCUUCGCCGUCUUCCAUCAUAACCCCUAUUUCUCCGUGCCUCGUCCAAACAUUAUAGUGUGGCAUGAAACCCUUGUAAAGCAGGUGGGAGUGAAGGAUUUUCCGGUUAGAGUAAGACCUCAUAUUCCCACAUUCAGUGCAUGGACAACGCAUAAAACCAUUCUGCUUGUUUGCCUCAGCCGCAUCGAGAAACUCAUGCACGCUCUUAAUGUACUCGCGGGUGUGUCUGUCACCGUACAUCCAUUGCCGGUUCAUCUGCGUGCAUUAUAUAUAAUUAAGUGUCCAAAUUAAUAGAAGUUCAUCAUCACAUUAAAACCAAAGUGCAUACAUAGUUCUCAUCUAACAACAUAUAGCUCUCCAGAGCAUCUACUUAAUUAAACCAUACAUUGAAACUAUGUAAAACAUUUCAAUGCGAAAACAAAUGCGAUCAUAAUCGCAACCAAGGUAACAAUUGAUCCAACGGUAUAAUGAUACCAAGUCUCGGUAUGAAUGGCAUAUUUUCUAAUCUUUCUAAUCUUCAAGCGCAUUGCAUCCAUCUUGAUCUUGUGAUCAUCGACGACAUCCGCAACAUGCAACUUCAAUAUCAUCUUCUCCUCCUCAAUUUUUUUUUAUUUUUUCCUUCAACAAAUUGUUUUCUUCUUCAACUAAAUUUAACCUCUCGACAAUAGGAUCGGUUGGCAUUUCCGAUUCACAUACAUCCUAGAUAAAUAAAAUCUAUGUCACGUUGGUCGGCAUAAUUUUCAUAAACAAUAAAUGAACCAAUAGUUAUAAAGAUAAUAUACAUACCAAAUCCGAAUCAUAGACAGGACGAGGGCCGACGGGGGCGGAUACCAAAACCAUCGCACUAUAUAAGAUGCAAUAAUAAAUGUAAGAAAAUGAUACAAGUAUCUAUCUAAACAUACAAGUAAGAAUAUUUUUCCUUUCAGAAAGAAGAUAAGAACAAGAGGCUCACCACGGUGGUGUCGGUGAUGAGAUCGGCGCGGGUGAUCGACGGCGGUGAAGACGGGGAUGGGGCGUGACGGACCGCUAAAUCUAGACAAAUCUCGAGGAAAAUGGAGCUUGGAGGUCGAGCUUCGAGAGGAGAAAGCUUAAUAGUGUGGCUCGGGCAUUCCAUCGAACACCUCAUGUGCAUAGGAGGUGAGCUAGAGCACCACAAAGCCCUCUCCCCCUCGGCCAGAAAAAACAGAGCACUGUGCUCUGCUCUUGCGCGAGGGGGUAUAUAUAGGCACCUCAUUGGUCCCGGUUGGUGGCAUGAACCGGGACCAAAGGGGAGCCUUUGGUCCCGGUUCAAGCCACCAACCAGGACCAAUGGUAGUGGGCCAGGAGCGAGGCCCAUUGGUCCCGGUUCGUCCCACCAACCGGGACCAAAAGGUCCAGACGAACCGGGACCAAUGGCCCACGUGGCCCGGCCGGCCCCCUGGGCUCACGAACCGGGACCAAUGCCCACAUUGGUCCCGGUUCUAUACUGAAUCGGGACUAAUGGGCUGAGCCGGCCUGGACCAUAGCCCUGUUUUCUACUAGUGAACCGUGCCGACGAAAGUGUGCAACUCCGCGGCCAUGCGUGAGCAUCUCCCCACGACAAUUCAUGUGCGACUAUGCGGACAAGAUUGUACAACUCUCUGUACAUGCGUGUGUGACUAUGCCGGCAAGAGUGUGCAACUCCGCGUCCGGGCGUAAGAACCUCCCACGAUAAUUCAUGUGCUACUAUAUGGGCCAGAUUGUGCAACUCUGUUGCCAUGCAUGUGCGACUGGGCCGACGAAAGUGUGCAACUUGGCGGCGGGGCAUGAGAACAUCCCAUGAUAAUUCAUAUGCGAUUAUACGGAUCAGAUUGUGCAACUAUAUGGUUAUGCAUGUGCCAAAUAAAACUAGUAUAUGUGCAACUACAACUAGUGUGAGUAUCAACUAGCCAUCCAGGAAGAGUCUAGAUGCACGAACACACAGCCGCGUGCAGACCACCGCGAUGCAUUCAUCCGUGCUCCCUUCUUCUUGUCCUUGCCACGUGCUCCCUUCUUCCCGUCCACAACAAGGAUGCAUGCACCCUUCUCAUUCACUCCCAGCCUUUUGGAUCAAUGGAUUCGGAGGGAGGCGCUCUACAUUUGUACUGCUACAUAGAAAUAAAAUGGAGUGAGAAAGAAGAUGUGGCUGCAGGAAGAAAAGAGCGAGAAGAGAAUCUGAAUUUGCUUUCCCCCUUGUUUGACCCGUUCCUCCCCUUACAUGUGUUAUUCCCUGAGGUGCUGCUGCCUGAAGAGAAUCUGAUGCCGCAAAGAAAAUAUGGAUGCUAAUAAACAGAGAACUGCAGGAACAGUAAACUUGAUUUGUACAAGUGAGAGAUGAGGAGGAUAUAUAGAGGCAGAGCUGAUCCAAGCCAGUUGCAAUCUUCGGGGCUAAGAGGAUUAACCUGUUGUAUACAUUGUGGAAUAGUAGUAUGUUGUUAUCAGAGAGAACCUGACUGACUUGUAUCAUCAUCAUCAUGUAUACC